Molecule: ribosomal RNA, 426 nt
Filed under: uncultured bacterium
Lineage: Bacteria
Description: partial 16S ribosomal RNA
Rfam family: Bacterial small subunit ribosomal RNA
Source: RNAcentral
GUGAGGAAUUUUCCGCAAUGGGCGAAAGCCUGACGGAGCAAUGCCGCGUGAAGGAUGAAGGCCUAUGGGUUGUAAACUUCUUUUCUCAGAAAAGAAUUAUGACGGUAUCUGAGGAAUAAGCAUCGGCUAACUCUGUGCCAGCAGCCGCGGUAAGACAGAGGAUGCAAGCGUUAUCCGGAAUGAUUGGGCGUAAAGCGUCUGUAGGUUGUUUAAAAAGUAUUCUGUCAAAGAUUAGGGCUUAACCCUAGAUAGGCAGAAUAAACUUUUAAGCUAGAGUUUGGUAGAGGCAGAGGGAAUUCCCGGUGGAGCGGUGAAAUGCGUAGAUAUCGGGAGGAACACCAAAGGCGAAGGCACUCUGCUGGGCCAAUACUAACACUGAGAGACGAAAGUGAGGGGAGCAAAUGGGAUUAGAAACCCCAGUAGUCC